AGUGAACGCUGGCGGUAGGCCUAACACAUGCAAGUCGAACGGCAGCACAGUAAGAGCUUGCUCUUACGGGUGGCGAGUGGCGGACGGGUGAGGAAUACAUCGGAAUCUACUUUUUCGUGGGGGAUAACGUAGGGAAACUUACGCUAAUACCGCAUACGACCUACGGGUGAAAGCAGGAGAUCUUCGGACCUUUUGCGAUUGAAUUAGCCGAUGUCGGAUUAGCUAGUUGGCGGGGUAAAGGCCCACCAAGGCGACGAUCCGUAGCUGGUCUGAGAGGAUGAUCAGCCACACUGGAACUGAGACACGGUCCAGACUCCUACGGGAGGCAGCAGUGGGGAAUAUUGGACAAAGGGCGCAAGCCUGAUCCAGCCAUACCGCGUGGGUGAAGAAGGCCUUCGGGUUGUAAAGCCCUUUUGUUGGGAAAGAAAAGCAGCAGGUUAAUACCCCGCUGUUCUGACGGUACCCAAAGAAUAAGCACCGGCUAACUUCGUG
RNAcentral lists this ribosomal RNA (492 nucleotides) under uncultured bacterium. RNAcentral describes it as "partial 16S ribosomal RNA". It matches the Rfam family "Bacterial small subunit ribosomal RNA", at positions 29 to 507 of the family's 1533-position model. The record is from RNAcentral.